Molecule: unclassified non-coding RNA, 149 nt
Organism: Callithrix jacchus (white-tufted-ear marmoset)
Lineage: Eukaryota; Metazoa; Chordata; Mammalia; Primates; Cebidae
Rfam family: Metazoan signal recognition particle RNA
About the family: The signal recognition particle (SRP) is a universally conserved ribonucleoprotein. It is involved in the co-translational targeting of proteins to membranes.
Source: Ensembl
GCUGGGCAUGGUGGCGCGUGCCUGUAAUCCCAGCUACUCAGGAGGCUGAGGCAGGAGAAUUGCUUGAACCCAGGAGGUGGAGGUUGCGGUGAGCCGAGAUCGCGCCAUUGCACUCCAGCCUGGGUAACAAGAGCAAAACUCUGUCUCAA